CUGUUAUUGAAAAUUGGAAUGUUAGCAUUUUUUUUGACAGUCAAUAUUCGGUAUAAAUUGAAGAUCAUUGGCCAUUGGGGUCUACCACUACUAAUAUGUUUGUCCCGUAUUCAGAGAAGAAUUCCUUUAACAUAUACCCAUCACAGAAGUGAGGUCCAGGACAAUUCAAGUAUAUCUUAUGAUUAUCCUUUGUAAUAAAUUCCAUUUUUUUUUUAUGAAUGUGUAUUUAGAAUUAUCUUAAUUUUUUGUAUGAGAAUAAUGUUCCUUGUUUUCCGUACGAACAUAUUAAAUUAAAAAAAUUCUUAAUAUGACAAAAAGGAAAACAUAUGGCCAGGAAUAUCUGACAAGGAUCUCAAUUAAGGACUAGGUCCUAACAACCACUUAACCUUUUAUAUAAUAUGGUACAUAGACUCAGCUCUGUGAUUCUUUUCAAAGCAGAACCAAAUGCAUUGUACAAUGAAAGUUCCAACCAUGUACUUGGGUCCGAAGCUGCACAUAACUCAUUACAAACAAAGAUUUAUUUCGUUUCAAGCCAUUGUUUCCCUACUAAACUAUGUAUUCUACUUACUAGUACACUUGGUACAAUCAAAAACCUCAGCUGAUAAAAAAUUGUUCAAAUAAGGCCUUUGAAAAUAGUGGAAUAAAUUGCUUUUAGAGUGUCAAAAUUCGUUCGAAG
RNAcentral lists this long non-coding RNA (676 nucleotides) under Mytilus galloprovincialis (Mediterranean mussel). Lineage: Eukaryota; Metazoa; Mollusca; Bivalvia; Mytilida; Mytilidae. The record is from RNAcentral.